RNAcentral lists this ribosomal RNA (507 nucleotides) under uncultured bacterium. RNAcentral's name for it is "bacterial SSU rRNA". It matches the Rfam family "Bacterial small subunit ribosomal RNA", at positions 15 to 518 of the family's 1533-position model. The record is from RNAcentral.
GAUCCUGGCUAGGAUGAACGCUAGCGACAGGCCUAACACAUGCAAGUCGAGGGGCAGCGCGGGAAGCUUGCUUUCCUGGCGGCGACCGGCGCACGGGUGCGUAACAGGUGUGCAAUCUGUCCAUAGUCGGGGAAUAGCCCAGCGAAAGUUGGAUUAAUGCUCCAUGUGAAUCGAGACCGCAUGAUCUUGAUUUGAAACGUAAGGACUAUGGGUGAGCACGCUUCUGAUUAGAUAGUUGGUGAGGUAACGGCUCACCAAGUCGACGAUCAGUAGGGGUUCUGAGAGGAAGGUCCCCCACAUUGGAACUGAGACACGGUCCAAACUCCUACGGGAGGCAGCAGUGAGGAAUAUUGGUCAAUGGGCGAGAGCCUGAACCAGCCAAGUCGCGUGAAGGAUGAAGGUUCUAUGGAUUGUAAACUUCUUUUGUCCGGGGGUAAAAAAGGCCACGUGUGGCUUCUUGCAAGUAUCGGACGAAUAAGCAUCGGCUAACUCCGUGCCAGCCGCUGC